This 5981-nucleotide long non-coding RNA is filed under the name Sus scrofa (pig). RNAcentral describes it as "lncRNA (ENSSSCG00015019430.1)". The record is from RNAcentral. Lineage: Eukaryota; Metazoa; Chordata; Mammalia; Artiodactyla; Suidae.
AUUGCAAAUUCCCGGACUGCUAGGAGAGGAGAAGGAAGGGGGCGGAGGAGAGAGGGCUGCUGCGGGCGCCGUGCAGGGGGCACCCGGGGCCGAAGUGGCUGACGGCCGGUCCGGCAGAAACCGCUCGCGGGCCGUUCUGGCUCCGGCGGCCUCACCAGGAAGCGUCAGUCUCCACACUGGGGGAAGCUCCGAGCGCCGCCUCCUCUGCCGCCGCCGCCUGCCCGGCUCCGGGUCCCCGAGCCCCCUCCCCUGCUCCAGGCCGGCCCCCCGCCCUACCGGACGAUCCGGCUCGGUCGCCUUCCUGGGCGAUGGCUGGCCGCUGAGCAUGGCUCAGUACGGCCACCCCAGCCCGCUCGGCAUGGCUGCGAGAGAGGAGCUGUACAGCAAAGUCACCCCGCGGAGGAACCGCCAGCAGGGAAGCAAUUCCCCCAGGAGACCUGGGUUCUCGUCAGUGGUGACGGCAGUGCAGAAAUCUGUGGGUGCCUGAGAGUAAGGAGGGGGAGCCGUCCUCCCUCAUUCGUCUUCUUCCUGGAGGGUGGGGUCGGGAAGGGCAGAGCGUGCAGGUGGCUGCCCCAGCAGCUUGCUGGGAAGAGGCCUAGUCGCCAGCACGAGGCAGCGGGGCAGGGGGAGUCUUCGGAAGCUGGCCACCCCAGACCUUGGGGCGGGCACCGUGCCUGGGAAGGAGCCAAGACCCGGUGGCCAUGCCCUUCUUCCUUGGUUAAUUCCUCGCGUGCAGAUUUCUUAGGCGGAGACACAAUGCCUGGGAUCCUGUGGGGCACUGCUUCUUUGAAUGACAUCACCUGAAAGGGAGUUAGGCAAACUUUACCAGAAAGGGCUAACUUGAUGAUAAGUUUUCUCCCCUCCUUUUUCAGGUGAUAACUUUAGGCUUCCCUUACCUGGCCUCUGGGCAAACCUUUUUUUCCUUACUAACUUGGCUGAAACCUUUUAGUCAGCGAUGACCCCUGAUUUUAUCAUUCCAUCCAGCCUGCUAGGACACGUUGGAGUGGCCUUGGAAGGCCAUAAAAAUGGACUGACAUUUCUGCCUCCCACACUAACUUCCGAGCACUGGGGCUCCAGUUCCUGAUGCCAGAGCCACAGGGAGAAGAGGUGGAGGGCUCUGUUAGGGGUGUGCCAGGCGUGGAAGCUGCAAGUUAGGUCCCUCGUGUGAUGCUGGUGCACAGCUGUCCUUAAGAGGAGGUGAGGGCAGGUCAGGCUGUGGGGCAAGGCUGAAGAAUUAGCACAGUCCCUGGCAUCUGGUCCUUGUGCAAUGAGGCCAGGGUUAAGGACCUAAAUUGCUUAAUUAAUGGAAGAAAUCCUUAACUGAAUUAUUCAGGCUGUUAAUGUUUGCUUUUCAAAGUGACUUUAGCAGGACAUUUUCUUUCCUGCACGGGGUCCAGGAGGCCUUGUCCAUGUCUUGACAGAGAUUAGGAGGAUGGUUUAAUUUUGGCUAGUUCGAUCCCUGAGACCUCAGAAUGUCUAGGAUUUGAGUACUUACUAUAUACUGUUCUAAGCACUUUAUCCUUAGCAUCCAUUUUAUCCUCCCAGCAACCCAGUGAGAAAGGUAAUUAUAUGCCCAUCUUAUGAAUUGGGAAACAGAGAUUUAGAGAGGUUACAGAACUUGUUCUGGGUUACAACAGUGAGUAGCGAAUCUGGGAUUCAAACCCAGGCCAUAGGUCUGCCACACUCAGGCCUCACAUCCCAGACCAGGAAGUAAUGGGUUAAUGUGGCUGACAUCCUUAGAGCAAUGCCCAGAGUGGCUGAUCUUGAAGCGUUGGCUACUGUAUUAGUUUCUGUGGCUCUUGUAACAAAUUACCACAAUCCAGGUGGUUUAAAACAGAAACCACAGUUCUGGAGGCCCAAAGCCCUAAAUGGGCAUCAUCCAGAGGUUCUAGAAGAGCUAUUCCAGCUCGUGGUGGCUGCUGGCAUUCUUUGGCUUGUGGCUGCACCCUCCAGUCUCUAUGUAUCCGUCACACUGCUUCCUCUUCCUUCUGUAUCAAAUCUCCGUCUGUCUGCCUCUUUGCUAGGAAGACACUGCAAUAGCAUUUAGAGCCUCCCCAAAUAAGUCAGGAAAAAUUUCCCAUCCCAAGAUUCUUAACUUAAUCACAUUUACAAAACCCUUUUUUUUUUUUUUAGCCCUAAGAUAGUGUUCGCAGACUCCAGGAAUUAGGGCAUGAAUAUUUUAGGGGAAGCCACGAUUCUGGCUGUCACAGCUACUGUUAUUACUAGCAUUGCUUCUCUUUACUGAAGAGGUGACAGAGUGGGUCAUGAUGAAACAGCCUGGGGAGGGGUGGGUUUGCUCUUCAGUCCCCCCAAAGUCUCUGCCCCGGAGGGUCAGAUCUCUUGGUGGUCAGUCCCUCUAAUCCACUGCAUGCCUAGGCUGGCAUCUCUUCUACUUCAGCCCAGAGGGGCCAACAGGGUCUGCCUUCCUAUUAGUAACUUAAUCAGUAAGAAGAGAGACCUGUCCCUGGGGCCCCUUGAGAUCUCAGAGAGCAGACUUUUCAUUUUGGAGAGCUGCAGAGAAAGAGAGCUAAGGCAUCAGGCUUAGCUUCUGAGAAGCCUCUUCCUUAGGCUUAAGCCCGGAGGAAGGAGCCCGAGGAAACAGAAAGUGGGAGAGAGCAGUGGUGGCUUCUGGGGUUCAGCAAGGCUGGGCAGUGAUGCUUUAAGCAGAGAUGAGACGGAGGUCUGAAACCUGGCCCUUUGGAGAGGGUGGUGGUGGCCAAGGCUGACAGCUCUGGUUUCCCCUCUGGCUGUAACUACAUCUGGUGUUGUACCACUGCAAGAAGGGCCCUUCCACUGGGCUCUGGGUGGGCCCCAGGGAUCCCCAAUGCCAACAAGACCCAGGUCUCAUUCCAGCCUGAGUUCUGCUCUGGUCUUGGAUAAGUCACUUGAGCCCUCAGGGCCCAGCUGGCUCCCUCUGAGGGGGAAACAGGAUUAAUUAGUGCGGGCUUGUUAAGUGGCUCACAGCUACUGGGGGAGAGGAGUGCUGAGCAAGCAGGGUGACCUCGGGGUAUGGGGUACAUUCCUCUAGCUCAUUACACCCUGAAACUGUGCUUGGUUUUUUUCCAUCCCACCCUAUGACCUUUGGUCCAACUUAGAUGCUGCUGUAGAACCUGCCAUGUGGAGAAGGAGUGAAAAGUGGCUGUUUCUGUGGUGUGUGUGCAUGUGUGCGCACAAGCACAAGGCAAGGAGGUGUCAGGGAGGCCUCAGGAAGGAAGCUUUCAAGGGGCCAAAAUGGCCUAUCCCUUCCUUUUUCUUUCUAGGCCCUUCGUUUUUCCCUUUUCCCAAAGUUCUAAAAAUAAAGGCCCAGCUUUGUCAAGACUGAGUGAGGUUGGUCGGAAAGAAAAGGAAGAGUUUGUGUGCCGGGCAAGGCCUGGAGCCAAGAGGGGGCUAAAUGAGUCACCCAAGAAGGCGGACAAGUUCUGAUGGAAUGUUGCUUGAUUUUUCCUGCCCCCACCGCUGGCCUCUGGUUUUGGGGGGCAGUGAGGUUCUUUCCCUUCUCUCCUCUGCAGCGGGAGGCCAACUGUGGGAGCAGUCACUGAAAAUUGAGUUUGAGGAGGCCCCGCUGAUAGAACUCUAGCCUAUUUGUUUUAGUUCCGUUUGUUUGAGGCUGCCUGUGGCUAGCCCUGUGUCUCUAGCAAAUGUUCUCAAAAGUUUCCUAAGGGUUGAGAAAGAUAAUCUUAACAAAAGGACACAAUGACAGGGGUGUGGUGCCCUGGGUCCCAGCCCAGCUUCUGACACUUGAUGCAUUUAGGUCUUCGGAUGACCCCCUUUCCCUCCGUAACCUGAUCAGCUUCUGUGCAUGGCAGUACCUGUCCUGCGUUAUGAGGCUUUGUGAAGACAGAAUGAGCUUAUGCAUGGGCAGGAAGGGGCAUAGAAAAGUUAAAAAUUAAAUCUGGACACAAGGUGGAGAUGAUUAUGGUUUUAUUGUGUUGGGUUGAAGGAAAAGGAAGGAGGUGAGAUGGUGGUUGAGGUCUCCAGCAAGGAUUUAUAUGUGCUCUUAGGUUGUUCAUAUUUGAACAAAGCCUAGCUGAAGAGUAGGACUGUGGCUCAAGAGCUGGAAUAAGCGCCUUUGACUUGGCUUUGGACAGUCAGCUGCGUUAGCUAUGCCUCACUGCCCAAAGAGAAAAGCAGCUCAGGGCAGGCGACACAAGGAAUUGAGAGGCAUCUUGCAGAGCCCAUGAAUUAAAGUAUCCGGUGUCUCUGGCCUUCUCCAGCUUACCUAGUGGUUGAUGUUAGAUGCCCUGAAAGUAUCCGGUUAACUCAGCCUCUCUGAAUCAUGGCUGAUUCUGGGAGGGGGCUGAGGUUGCUUUCCCAGGGACCUUGGGCGGAAAGGGGAGACAAACUGGGACCCACCUGGAGUGAAGGGAUCCUCUAGGUGGACAGGGCAAGGAAGUCUCUAACCCACCCACCCUGACCAUGUGGCCAUGUGAUACUCCUUUACGUUCGCGUGUUAUUUUGAGGGUGAAAAAUUGCUCUCGAGGGCACUAAAUCUCCCUCUUGAUCAGCACAUCAGUUCUCUGAGAUAAAGCACAUGACAAAAGCAUCAUUUUAAAGAUGAGAAGACUUGGAGUUCCUGUGGUGGCUCAGUGGGUUAAGAGCCCGCUAGUAUCCAUGAGGAUGUGGGUUCAAUCCCUGGCCUCAAUCCGUGUGUGAAGGAUCUGGUGUUAUGGUGAGCUGUGGUAUAGGUCAAGGAUGUGGCUUGCAUCUGGCAUUGCUGUGGCUGUGUCAUAGGCCAGCAGCUGCAGCUCCACUUUGACCCCUAGUCUGAGAACUUCCAUGUGCCAUGGGUGCAGCCCUAAAAAAUAAGAAAUAAUAAAAGAAAAAUGAUGAGGAGACUUGAGCCUUGGAGGAGCUCAAGGUCUUGCCCUACGUGGGGCCAUGUUGCCAUGAUAACCUUGGAUUAGAACUGCAAGUCCAGGGAACUUUCCAGGCUCCCUGGAGUACCUGGCUCAAAAGGAAAGACAUUCUUUUUGAACUUUAUUGAGGUAUAAUUUCUGUACAAUAAGCUAAACCUAGUUAAAGGUUGAUCGGUUUGAAAAAUGAAUGUUCCUGUGGAAUCACCAUGGUAAGGCAGCACGUGUCCAUCGCUCCUGUGAGUUUCCUGUGCCCCCCCCAACCGCUGCCCCAUGCAGUCGGUUCCUUCUCCACCCCCACCCCUGGGCAGCCACCCAUCUGCUUUGUGUCACUAGAGAUCAGCUCGCAUUUCUGAGACUUGCAUCGAGGCAGAAUCCUACAACGCAUACUCCUAUGCCUGCCUGGCUUCUUUCCUAAUAUUUUUGAGACUCAUCCGUGUUGCGUGGAACAGUACUUUGUCUUCUUUUCCUGCUGAGUAGAUCUCGAUGUAUUCGGAUGUGCUAGUACCGUUAAUUAUAACUCCUUGUGCACCACGUCUGUGAAAAUUCCCUGGUAUUUCCUGAUACUACCCGAGAUUCUUAGACCCCUUGUGUGGUUACAAAGCAGAUUUAUAUACAUAAUCACUAUGAAGUUUCAGAUAUUGAUCAUGUCAACAGGUUCAGAGAUUAAGUGCCCCAGAGAGUGAAGAGCAUCCUGCCUCAUGGCAGUUUUGUGGUUUUUGUUACUACCCCACCCUCAGCCGCCUCAAAUUCUAACUGCUUGUCAUGGAGUGGACAAGACUGCUCAGAACUUCAGGCUUUGCUUUUCAGAGAGGCAAGAAGCUUAGGGAAUCCUGGGUCUCCUGCCAGCUCUGCUGCUGCAGAUGACAGUGGUGGCGCAGCCCAGCGCCACCCCCAUCCUAGCAGGCAUCUGGUAUGUUUGUGUGAGGGGGUGUUCCUCACUUUUGGGCAGCCAGGAACCAAAGAGACUGAGCCACCCUCUGCCUGACACACAGAUGUCUAACUCCUGGCAGCCGUUGGGACGGCAUGGGUUUGAGUCCCAGCUCUGCCUCUUCCCAGCUGGUGAUCUUGGGCAAGUUGCUGAUUACCCUAAGCCUCACUUCUCCUGUUUGUACCACGCUGACAAUG